This 468-nucleotide ribosomal RNA is filed under the name uncultured bacterium. RNAcentral's name for it is "partial 16S ribosomal RNA". It matches the Rfam family "Bacterial small subunit ribosomal RNA", at positions 28 to 507 of the family's 1533-position model. The record is from RNAcentral.
GAUGAACGCUGGCGGCGUGCUUAACACAUGCAAGUCGAACGGUGAAGGCGGAGCUUGCUCUGCUGGAUCAGUGGCGAACGGGUGAGUAACACGUGAGCAAUCUGCCCCUGACUCUGGGAUAAGCGCUGGAAACGGCGUCUAAUACUGGAUACGAGCCGCGAAGGCAUCUUCAGCAGCUGGAAAGAAUUUCGGUCAGGGAUGAGCUCGCGGCCUAUCAGCUUGUUGGUGAGGUAAUGGCUCACCAAGGCGUCGACGGGUAGCCGGCCUGAGAGGGUGACCGGCCACACUGGGACUGAGACACGGCCCAGACUCCUACGGGAGGCAGCAGUGGGGAAUAUUGCACAAUGGGCGAAAGCCUGAUGCAGCAACGCCGCGUGAGGGACGACGGCCUUCGGGUUGUAAACCUCUUUUAGCAGGGAAGAAGCGAAAGUGACGGUACCUGCAGAAAAAGCGCCGGCUAACUACGUG